GAGCCAUGCAGAGGGUAGCUACAGCCAUUAAUUUAAGGAUGUAGAUAAGCUAUCUCUAAACCAAGAAAGUAAGAAUGGUGUGAAUUAUAUUUAUUCCCAGCCUUCCAGUGUUUAUUAAAAUAAUUUUCGGUGUCCUUGAGAGGAGUUAAAAGCCAUCAUUUUACUCCUGCUUACCUCCGCCACCGUAAUUAACCACUUUAUACUGCCUCAUAAUCCCAUUAACAAAUUGCAGUCGCUCCUCAGCCUUCACAUUCAUUCACUCACCAGUUUCUACUGUUUCAUCCUGCCCGGACUCUUAACUGUUCCCUCCCAGGAUCGACAUGCACUUGGAUCAUUGCAGUUUCUGGGCCUGCUGUCAUCUCCCCCUUCAGUACUUCCCACAUAUGACUACCAACUGUUAGACGAUGUGCUGCUGCCAGACCAGCCUUUCAUUUCUUGGACAUCCGGCUAUUUACCCAGGAAAAGUCAUCCUUUGACUAUUUUUCAUGACCUUUCUCAUCUGACUCGUGAUCUGCCCAUCUUGUUACUCCCUAGCAGUGUGGUAAGCCAAAUUCAUUCUCCCAAGAAGACAAGGAUCGAGGACUGUGGAGCCAACUCAGACUCGCCACGGCUAACAAUGUUUCCUGGGAUCGCCUCCCAAAUAAACUGCUUGUACUUGAACCCUUGUCUCAGAGUUGACUACUGGAAGAACCCCAGAUAAGACAAUCUGCGAGUAGACAUGUCAGAUAAUGCAGUUAGAUAUGAAUCUGGAAUUCAGAGGAGAGGCUCAUGCAAUUUGCAAGUCAUCAUCAAAAAGAUGUCAUUUGUUCUGUUUGUCUACUGCAGGAAGACAGAUUACCCUAAAAUUUAGUGGCUGAAAACAACUCUAUUUUAUCGUAGCUUACAAUUUUGUGGAUUGGGAAUUAGAGCCUGUCUCAUCUGGGCAACUCUUCUGUUCCCCAUGGCAUCACCUGAGGUCACUCCAUGGUAUUCAGCUACCAGACGAACUCAUCUGGAGUAUCCAAGUAUUCAUUCACGCUCAUAUCUGGCACCUUGGCAGGGAUGACUGGAAGCCUGGGCUCAGCUGGGACUGCUGACCAUAGUACCUACAAAUGGCCUCUUCAGCAUGGCUUCUUAAAUGGCUGCUCGGAGCUACCAAGAGACAGGAAGUAGAAGCUGCUAGUUUCUUAAGACCCAGAAAUGGUACAAUUUCAUUCCUGCCAUUGGUCAAAGCAGUCACAGAGCCUUCCAAGAGGAAACACAGACCCUCACUUCUCACUGGGAAGUAUGUCAAAGAGUUUGGGGCUUUUUUUUUGAGAAGGAGUCUUGCUCUGUCGCCCAGGCUGGAGUGCAGUGGCAAGAUCUCGGCUCACUGCAACCUCUGCCUCCCGAAUUCAAGCAAUUCUCCUGCUUUGGCCUCCCAAGUAGCUGGGAUUACAGGCAUGCGCCACCACACCCGGCUAAUUUUUUUGUAUUUUUAGUGGAGACGGGGUUUCACCAUAUGGGCCAGGCUGGUCUCGAACUCCUGACCUUGUGAUUCACCUGCCUCAGCCUCCCAAAGUGCUGGGAUUACAGACGUAAGCCACUGCGCCCAGCCCUGGGGCUGUCUUUAAUCCACUACAACAUUGCAAAGCUGUGAGCCAGGAUGAGAACGCCAGAGGUAUGAAUGUGGAUUAAAAGUCCAAGCACUGAAACUUUCAAUGUUUAGAGACCAGUGAGAGAAAGAACCAGCAACAGAGACUCAGAACUAUAUCAUAUUCUGCUGAUAAGCCAAUAAGAUGAUAAUGAUAACUAAGAAUUGACAUUGGCUUUAGUGAUGUAGACAUAAUUGGGGACCUUGACAAGAGCAGUUUACUGGGGGUGGUUGAGUUGAAACUUUGAUUGUUUCAAGAGAGAAUGGAAUGAGUGGAAAGAUAGUUUGUGAGUGCUAGCAAUUAUUCAGAGAAUUUCUGCUAUAAAUGGGAGCAGGAGGAUGUAUCAGGAGCUAAUGGGAGAAAUGAGGUCAACAUUAUUUCCUAUGUAGCUUUCUCUUAUGCCCAAAUUCCACUGGAUAUCAUCCACUUCUGGUUACUUCUGGUUUGGGAUGUAUAGGUGAAGGAAUAGUUUUGGAUCCUCCUUUAUUACCUGUUUUAUUUGCAUAAUUGGACAAUAACUAAACUUGCUUUAAAUAUCUCUUAAAGCAUUUUAAAUUCAAAUUUGGAGAGAGGAAUAUGAGAGUGGUUUUUGGUCAUUGUUUAGCCAUAUACAAUAUUGUCUUACCUUCUGCAUUUGAAGUUUUUGAUACCUGAUAAAUGUUUGUAUUGUGUAGUUGAACAAGAAUUUGCCACAUGAAGGUUUACAGUUGUAGUUUUAUGUUAAGUUCUUUACAGU
This 2349-nucleotide long non-coding RNA is filed under the name Homo sapiens (human). RNAcentral describes it as "non-protein coding lnc-RAD52-2:13". Lineage: Eukaryota; Metazoa; Chordata; Mammalia; Primates; Hominidae. The record is from RNAcentral.